This 103-nucleotide small nuclear RNA is filed under the name Chelonoidis abingdonii (Abingdon island giant tortoise). Its description in RNAcentral is "U5 spliceosomal RNA (ENSCABG00000019360.1)". It matches the Rfam family "U5 spliceosomal RNA". From Rfam's summary of the family: U5 RNA is a component of both types of known spliceosome. The precise function of this molecule is unknown, though it is known that the 5' loop is required for splice site selection and p220 binding, and that both the 3' stem-loop and the Sm site are important for Sm protein binding and cap methylation. The record is from RNAcentral. Lineage: Eukaryota; Metazoa; Chordata; Testudines; Testudinidae.
AUAACUAUUUAGUUCGUAUAAAUCUUUCGCCUUUUACUAAAGAUUUCCUAAAGAAAUGAAAGUUAAGUUACAAAUGUUUGGUAACCAGUACCCUGCAUUCCAG